GCUGCCCCACAUUUGGCAGAACAGCACAGGAACACUCAUGCACUCCCAAAGUACGCGAAAUGGGACACAGCCAGGUUCACGACCUUUUCACAAAAUGCUAGCGUCAUGUCAAGCCUGCACAGCGGCAUGUCUUGGGUGUAGGUCCUGGUUACGGCCUGCACCGGCGAGUGGAGCCUGAGCGCCUCCCUGAUGCACAUGGUGGUGAAAGGAAGGUUGGACAGAUCUUCCCUGUGCAAGAACACCUGUCUCCAGCACCUCCGUCCUGCAUUUGUCUUGAAAGUGUGUGUGGCGUGCUAAAUUGUACAACGUCCAGCAAAUGGCGCUGGCCGUGGUGUCGUGACCUGCAGAAGAAGACGCUCACGGUCUGUUCUGACGGACUCUUGAUUCUGUGCGCGUCUCACCUGCAAACAUGAAGGUGUUGGCCUCCGCUUCGAUCUCCUCGUCUGUUAAACCGUGCCCGUCUCCAUCCUGAGAUAAGCAUCAGCGUCAUUUCAUCAUGCUCUUUGCUUCUGUGUGCCAUCGUGCAAACCUUGGAUAACAGGAUGAUGUCCACAAAAUCCCUUUUCCGAUGCGGGGUGGAGGUGGACUCAGACUGGUCGAUGAGCGCAUGGCGCCUCUGAACCACUUCUCUUGUGAACCUGCAUGAGGUCACGACGUCACCGUGCUGUAUUUGUACCACCUGCACGUGUGUGUUACCUGUGCACAACGUUCAAAGCCUUCUUGAACCGUUUCCCCUGCCGCGUCUUCCAGUAAACCCAGUCCCAGUGAUGCAGAAUGUUCUGGCGCCGCUCGAUGAGGAGGUCACUCAACUCCACGAUGGCUGACACGUACUCACUGCGGGACCUGCAGAGACAUGGAGGUUUCAAGAAAAAAAAAAGGCAGCGGGGAUGAGUCGAGGGCGGGUCCUCACUCCUGACAGUUGCUGCUGUAACUGAAGGCGCAUUUCAGCAAACUGUCCAAAGUCAUCAACGUGACGUGGUCGAACAUCUCGAUGGUGGUGCGCCCCUCCGCCACCAGACGCUGCCACUUUUCCUGUGCACACAAGACGGCUUGUUUUUUCAUGGGGAAGGGAACCACACUUUUCAAGAUCCUUCUGGUCAACACAUUCAGACAUUCUGGCUGCGUCUCAAAUGGAAAACACGGAUCCCCACACAGUCGCAAUUUUUUCUCUGUGUAUAACUCGAUACAAUGUAUAUGUUGUUCAUAUCCAUCCAUCCGUCUUCUUUUGCUGGGUCAACAGCCUAAGCAGUGAAGGUCAGACUUCCCUCUCCCUAGCUACUCGCGGUGGAUUCCGAGGCGUUCCCGGUCCAGUGGAGAGACAUAGUCUCGCCAACGUGUCCUGGGUCUUCCCCAAGGCCUCCUACCGAGUGCACUCAGUAUGGAAGUGCGCCAGUUUAGACACAGCCUCUGAUUCCGCCUCGGCGUCUUUUUGCCUUACGUGCAUGGUGUCUGCUGAAGCGUUAAAUGUGGCAACGUAGUUCCUCAGUAUGUCAAAAUGAAACGCUG
Molecule: non-coding RNA, 1506 nt
Organism: Doryrhamphus excisus (bluestripe pipefish)
Lineage: Eukaryota; Metazoa; Chordata; Actinopteri; Syngnathiformes; Syngnathidae
Source: RefSeq, a predicted model, not a curated record